GAACUUAUUCGUUUGAUUAAUUAACAUAUUAAUUAAUCCUUGCCAUAAAUAAAUGAUUAAACCAUUUAAUCAUUUUUACUCAUCUCCAUUGUUUCUUCAAUCUCCACCUUACACGGUGUGCGAUCCAUUAGGUUCCUUUUUAGCGAGGCAGUGGGCGAUUAAAACCAUUUUAUAUCGAUUGUGAAUUGAAACUUACUUUCAA
RNAcentral lists this long non-coding RNA (202 nucleotides) under Malus domestica (apple). Its description in RNAcentral is "long non-coding RNA (MDOM_LNC004553)". The record is from RNAcentral. Lineage: Eukaryota; Viridiplantae; Streptophyta; Magnoliopsida; Rosales; Rosaceae.